Molecule: ribosomal RNA, 480 nt
Filed under: uncultured bacterium
Lineage: Bacteria
Description: partial 16S ribosomal RNA
Rfam family: Bacterial small subunit ribosomal RNA
Source: RNAcentral
GACGAACGCUGGCGGCGUGCUUAACACAUGCAAGUCAAGCGGAAAGGCCCUUUCGGGGGUACUCUAGCGGCGAACGGGUGAGUAACACGUGAGUAAUCUGCCCCUGGCUUUGGGAUAGCCACCGGAAACGGUGAUUAAUACCGGAUACGACCACUUCUCGCAUGGGAUGGUGGUGGAAAGUUUUUCGGCCAGGGAUGUGCUCGCGGCCUAUCAGCUUGAUGGUGAGGUAAUGGCUCACCAUGGCUUCGACGGGUAGCCGGCCUGAGAGGGUGACCGGUCACACGGGGACUGAGACACGGCCAAGACGCCGACGGGAGGCAGCAGUGGGGAAUUUUGGACAAGGGGCGGAAGCCUGAUCCAGCAACGCCGCGUGAGGGAUGACGGCCUUCGGGUUGUAAACCUCUUUCAGCAGGGACGAAGCGAAAGGGACGGUACCUGCAGAAGAAGCACCGGCCAACUACGUGCCAGCCGCCGCCGUAA